This 497-nucleotide ribosomal RNA is filed under the name uncultured bacterium. RNAcentral's name for it is "partial 16S ribosomal RNA". It matches the Rfam family "Bacterial small subunit ribosomal RNA", at positions 28 to 507 of the family's 1533-position model. The record is from RNAcentral.
GAUGAACGCUGGCGGCGUGCCUAAUACAUGCAAGUCGAGCGAACGGACGAGAAGCUUGCUUCUCUGAUGUUAGCGGCGGACGGGUGAGUAACACGUGGAUAACCUACCUAUAAGACUGGGAUAACUUCGGGAAACCGGAGCUAAUACCGGAUAAUAUUUUGAACCGCAUGGUUCAAAAGUGAAAGACGGUCUUUCUGUCACUUAUAGAUGUAUCCGCGCUGCAUUAGCUAGUUGGUAAGGUAACGGCUUACCAAGUCAACGAUGCAUAGCCGACCUGAGAGGGUGAUCGGCCACACUGGAACUGAGACACGGUCCAGACUCCUACGGGAGGCAGCAGUAGGGAAUCUUCGGCAAUGGGCGAAAGCCUGACGGAGCAACGCCGCGUGAGUGAUGAAGGUCUUCGGAUCGUAAAACUCUGUUAUUAGGGAAGAACAUAUGUGUAAGUAACUGUGCACAUCUUGACGGUACCUAAUCAGAAAGCCACGGCUAACUACGUG